UGGGGAAUUUUGGACAAUGGGCGAAAGCCUGAUCCAGCAAUGCCGCGUGUGUGAAGAAGGCCUUCGGGUUGUAAAGCACUUUUGUCCGGAAAGAAAUCCUUGGCUCUAAUACAGUCGGGGGAUGACGGUACCGGAAGAAUAAGCACCGGCUAACUACGUGCCAGCAGCCGCGGUAAUACGUAGGGUGCAAGCGUUAAUCGGAAUUACUGGGCGUAAAGCGUGCGCAGGCGGUUUGCUAAGGCCGAUGUGAAAUCCCCGGGCUCAACCUGGGAACUGCAUUGGUGACUGGCAGGCUAGAGUAUGGCAGAGGGGGGUAGAAUUCCACGUGUAGCAGUGAAAUGCGUAGAGAUGUGGAGGAAUACCGAUGGCGAAGGCAGCCCCCUGGGGCCAAUACUGACGCUCAUGCACGGAAGCGUGGGGAGCAAACAGGAUUAGAUACCCUGGUAGUCCACGCCCUAAACGAUGUCAACUAGUUGUUGGGGAUUCAUUUCCUUAGUAACGUAGCUAACGCGUGAAGUUGACCGCCUGGGGAGUACGGUCGCAAGAUUAAAACUCAAAUGAAUUG
RNAcentral lists this ribosomal RNA (565 nucleotides) under uncultured bacterium. RNAcentral's name for it is "partial 16S ribosomal RNA". It matches the Rfam family "Bacterial small subunit ribosomal RNA", at positions 355 to 912 of the family's 1533-position model. The record is from RNAcentral.